CUUGACGACCAUAGAGCAUUGGAACCACCUGAUCCCAUCCCGAACUCAGCAGUGAAACGAUGCAUCGCCGAUGGUAGUGUGGGGGUUCCCCAUGUGAGAGGAGGUCAUCGUCAAGA
Molecule: ribosomal RNA, 116 nt
Filed under: Pseudomonas sp. L13
Lineage: Bacteria; Pseudomonadati; Pseudomonadota; Gammaproteobacteria; Pseudomonadales; Pseudomonadaceae
Source: RNAcentral